This 156-nucleotide long non-coding RNA is filed under the name Cricetulus griseus (Chinese hamster). Its description in RNAcentral is "lncRNA (ENSCGRG00000024209.1)". Lineage: Eukaryota; Metazoa; Chordata; Mammalia; Rodentia; Cricetidae. The record is from RNAcentral.
CUAACCUUGAUCACAUGAAGAUCACCAGUGUUCAGGAGACCUGAGGAAGAAUUCAGUUCACAGCUGCUGUUCCAGAAUACUAGGUGGUGGAGGGAAUACAAGACCCUCUCUGCACUAAUUUUUCAACUUCCCAUGAUUCUACAAUUACUUCAAAAC